This 253-nucleotide ribosomal RNA is filed under the name uncultured bacterium. Its description in RNAcentral is "partial 16S ribosomal RNA". It matches the Rfam family "Bacterial small subunit ribosomal RNA", at positions 524 to 776 of the family's 1533-position model. The record is from RNAcentral.
UACGAAGGGGGCUAGCGUUGCUCGGAAUCACUGGGCGUAAAGGGUGCGUAGGCGGGUCUUUAAGUCAGGGGUGAAAUCCUGGAGCUCAACUCCAGAACUGCCUUUGAUACUGAAGAUCUUGAGUGCGGGAGAGGUGAGUGGAACUGCGAGUGUAGAGGUGAAAUUCGUAGAUAUUCGCAAGAACACCAGUGGCGAAGGCGGCUCACUGGCCCGGUACUGACGCUGAGGCACGAAAGCGUGGGGAGCAAACAGG